This 1402-nucleotide long non-coding RNA is filed under the name Ursus maritimus (polar bear). Its description in RNAcentral is "lncRNA (ENSUMAG00000020335.1)". Lineage: Eukaryota; Metazoa; Chordata; Mammalia; Carnivora; Ursidae. The record is from RNAcentral.
AGAACAGCUGGGCAGCCUCAUGUCCCCGACUACGCUUACGAAGAGGGUGUGUUCCUGACUUCUGGAAGGAAGACUCGGCCAUAGCAAAGAAAAGGACAGAAGGUUGAAUUCUACUUUUGUAAACACAUGAAAAAUUACGGUCAAAUCUUGUCAGAAAUACUCCUAAGUUAUUUAAUGUCAAUCCACACGUAACCAGAUAUUUUCACCUUGUCAAUAAUAAAUUCUUUGUUUCCUAAACGCUGUUGUCCGGCCUCCUUACUUUCCCCACAUUCACUCAUGGGAGAGAGCUAUAUAAUAAUACAAGACCAUUUCGGGUUUGCUCUUGACUCAUUCUAAGCGCGUAUCAAGUUAUUUUAAUGCAGAAUUUUCAUUCCUUUUAUUCUUGGUGAUAAUUUCCAAGAUCUUAUUUGACAGUGAUGGAGUGGCCGGUGGCGGUUGUUAAAAUGGAAAGGGCACUUUGUGCCUUCGGUGUUUCCUCUGUGCUCUGAGGAGGUUCCGUGAAGAAGGAUUUGUCACGGGAAGCCCCAGAAGAGCUGGAAUUCGCUACACAGACAAUGCCUUCCUCGCCUUGGCUUUAGAAACCUGAAUUAAGUUGGUACCAAAAAGAAAAAGUGUUUAUCUUGAACAAGAAGCCAGUCUACUUUAAUACGAUUUCAGCUCUGCAGCUGCGUUUCAAACACAAGAAGAGAAAGCUUGCUGGGGCUGCCGGCACGAGGCUGCAACGCCGACCAAAAGCCUGCCCUGUCCCGGUACUGCCGACGUCGUACAGAGGACCGCUUGGUGCCGUCUUUACGAUCUGCUCUCAUCAGCCACUCUCAAAUGACAACCUCGGAACCAUCUGAAUUAAAAGUAUGUGCACUUAACGGAGAUUCAAGACCCACGGAGCGAACAAGCCCACACUCGGAGUCAGGAGACUCGCACACCCUUCCUAGAUUCAGCUGGCUGAUAACUCUCUCUGGUGAGAGAGCCAGUAAACAAAAAUUCAGCAGCGACACAGAAGGUUCGACGCCAUCUGCCAGUGCGACCCGACAUUACAGAGCGCUGCACCCCACAGCAGCUGAGCACCCCUUCUUUUCAAGCGCACAUCGUGUUCAUCAAGCUAGAUCACACGCUGGGCCAUAAAGUAAGUGUGAAAAGAUUGAAAUCUUACAGAAUAUGUCCUCGGACCACACCAAACUUAACUUAGAAAUCAACAGCAACAGGGGCGCCUGGGUGGCACAGCGGUUAAGCGUCUGCCUUCGGCUCAGGGCGUGAUCCCGGCGUUAUGGGAUCGAGCCCCACAUCAGGCUCCUCUGUGGGCCUGCUUCUUCCUCUCCCACUCCCCCUGCUUGUGUUCCCUCUCUCGCUGGCUGUCUCUAUCCUGUCAAAUAAAUAAAUAAAUAAAAUCUUAAAAAAAAAAACA